RNAcentral lists this long non-coding RNA (225 nucleotides) under Gossypium raimondii (Peruvian cotton). RNAcentral describes it as "long non-coding RNA (GRAI_LNC000313)". Lineage: Eukaryota; Viridiplantae; Streptophyta; Magnoliopsida; Malvales; Malvaceae. The record is from RNAcentral.
UCGAAACCAGAAUGAGUACUAGAAAUAAUAAUAUUAUCCAAAUACAUAAUUAAUGGUACACAACAUAAUAAUAACAUUGUCCAAGUGAAUAAUAUUACAUCACAUAUAUCCAAAUACAUAAUUAAUGGUACACCACAUAGUAAGAACAUUAUCCAAGUGCAUAAUAUUACACCACAUAAAUGUAUCAAUAUCUUCAACCCUGAGAAAAUUUUUGAAGCCAAAUUU